This 253-nucleotide ribosomal RNA is filed under the name uncultured bacterium. Its description in RNAcentral is "partial 16S ribosomal RNA". It matches the Rfam family "Bacterial small subunit ribosomal RNA", at positions 524 to 776 of the family's 1533-position model. The record is from RNAcentral.
UACGAAGGGUCCAAGCGUUAUCCGGAUUUAUUGGGUUUAAAGGGUGCGUAGGCGGCUUAUUAAGUCAGUGGUGAAAGACUUCAGCUUAACUGAAGAACUGCCAUUGAUACUGAUGAGCUUGAAUAUACUUGAGGUGGGCGGAAUGUGUCAUGUAGCGGUGAAAUGCUUAGAUAUGACACAGAACACCGAUUGCGAAGGCAGCUCGCUAAAGUAUAAUUGACGCUGAGGCACGAAAGCGUGGGUAGCAAACAGG